UAUACAUGCAAGUCGAGCGGACAGAAGGGAGCUUGCUCCCGGAUGUUAGCGGCGGACGGGUGAGUAACACGUGGGUAACCUGCCUGUAAGACUGGGAUAACUCCGGGAAACCGGAGCUAAUACCGGAUAGUUCCUUGAACCGCAUGGUUCAAGGAUGAAAGACGGUUUCGGCUGUCACUUACAGAUGGACCCGCGGCGCAUUAGCUAGUUGGUGGGGUAAUGGCUCACCAAGGCGACGAUGCGUAGCCGACCUGAGAGGGUGAUCGGCCACACUGGGACUGAGACACGGCCCAGACUCCUACGGGAGGCAGCAGUAGGGAAUCUUCCGCAAUGGACGAAAGUCUGACGGAGCAACGCCGCGUGAGUGAUGAAGGUUUUCGGAUCGUAAAGCUCUGUUGUUAGGGAAGAACAAGUGCGAGAGUAACUGCUCGCACCUUGACGGUACCUAACCAGAAAGCCACGGCUAACUACGUGCCAGCAGCCGCGGUAAUACGUAGGUGGCAAGCGUUGUCCGGAAUUAUUGGGCGUAAAGGGCUCGCAGGCGGUUUCUUAAGUCUGAUGUGAAAGCCCCCGGCUCAACCGGGGAGGGUCAUUGGAAACUGGGAAACUUGAGUGCAGAAGAGGAGAGUGGAAUUCCACGUGUAGCGGUGAAAUGCGUAGAGAUGUGGAGGAACACCAGUGGCGAAGGCGACUCUCUGGUCUGUAACUGACGCUGAGGAGCGAAAGCGUGGGGAGCGAACAGGAUUAGAUA
Molecule: ribosomal RNA, 751 nt
Filed under: Bacillus pumilus
Lineage: Bacteria; Bacillati; Bacillota; Bacilli; Caryophanales; Bacillaceae
Description: bacterial SSU rRNA
Rfam family: Bacterial small subunit ribosomal RNA
Source: RNAcentral